GAUGAACGCUGGCGGCGUGCCUAAUACAUGCAAGUCGAGCGAACAGACGAGGAGCUUGCUCCUCUGACGUUAGCGGCGGACGGGUGAGUAACACGUGGAUAACCUACCUAUAAGACUGGGAUAACUUCGGGAAACCGGAGCUAAUACCGGAUAAUAUAUUGAACCGCAUGGUUCAAUAGUGAAAGACGGUUUUGCUGUCACUUAUAGAUGGAUCCGCGCCGCAUUAGCUAGUUGGUAAGGUAACAGCUUACCAAGGCAACGAUGCGUAGCCGACCUGAGAGGGUGAUCGGCCACACUGGAACUGAGACACGGUACAGACUCCUACGGGAGGCAGCAGUAGGGAAUCGUCCGCAAUGGGCGAAAGCCUGACAGAGCAACGCCGCGUGAGUGAUGAAGGUCUUCGGAUCGUAAAACUCUGUUAUUAGGGAAGAACAAAUGUGUAAGUAACUAUGCACGUCUUGACGGUACCUAAUCAGAAAGCCACGGCUAACUACGUG
Molecule: ribosomal RNA, 497 nt
Filed under: uncultured bacterium
Lineage: Bacteria
Description: partial 16S ribosomal RNA
Rfam family: Bacterial small subunit ribosomal RNA
Source: RNAcentral